GAUGAACGCUGGCGGCGUGCCUAAUACAUGCAAGUCGAACGAAACUUCUUUAUCACCGAGUGCUUGCACUCACCGAUAAAGAGUUGAGUGGCGAACGGGUGAGUAACACGUGGGCAACCUGCCCCAACGAGGGGGAUAACACUUUGAGACAGGUUCUAAUACCGCAUAACCAUAGUUACCGCAUGGUAACUAUGUAAAAGGUUGCUAUACUACCGCUUUUGGAUGGGCCCGCGGCGCAUUAGCCAGUUGGUAGGGUAAAGGCUUACCAAGGCAAUGAUGCGUAGCCGAAUUGAGAGGUUGAUCGGCCACAUUGGGACUGAGACACGGCCCAGACUCCUACGGGAGGCAGCAGUAGGGAAUCUUCCACAAUGGGCGAAAGCCUGAUGGAGCAACGCCGCGUGGGUGAAGAAGGUCUUCGGAUCGUAAAACCCUGUUGUUAGGGAAGAAAGUGCGUGAGAGUAACUGUUCACGUUUCGACGGUAUCUAACCAGAAAGCCACGGCUAACUACGUG
RNAcentral lists this ribosomal RNA (512 nucleotides) under uncultured bacterium. Its description in RNAcentral is "partial 16S ribosomal RNA". It matches the Rfam family "Bacterial small subunit ribosomal RNA", at positions 28 to 507 of the family's 1533-position model. The record is from RNAcentral.